UGAUUCGAGGGUGCGCGUCUCGGGGCAGCUCCACCCGUGUUGCCCGAACCUAUGUUGCCUCGGCGGGCCCCGCGCCCGCCGACGGCCCCCCUGAACGCUGUCUGAAGUUGCAGUCUGAGACCUAUAACGAAAUUAGUUAAAACUUUCAACAACGGAUCUCUUGGUUCCGGCAUCGAUGAAGAACGCAGCGAAAUGCGAUAACUAAUGUGAAUUGCAGAAUUCAGUGAAUCAUCGAGUCUUUGAACGCACAUUGCGCCCUCUGGUAUUCCGGAGGGCAUGCCUGUCCGAGCGUCAUUGCUGCCCUCAAGCCCGGCUUGUGUGUUGGGCCCCGUCCCCCCCGCCGGGGGGACGGGCCCGAAAGGCAGCGGCGGCACCGCGUCCGGUCCUCGAGCGUAUGGGGCUUCGUCACCCGCUCUAGUAGGCCCGGCCGGCGCCAGCCGACCCCCAACCUUUAAUUAUCUCAGGUUGACCUCGGAUCAGGUAGGGAUACCCGCUGAACUUAAGCAUAUCAAAAGGCGCAGGAG
Molecule: ribosomal RNA, 524 nt
Filed under: Penicillium citrinum
Lineage: Eukaryota; Fungi; Ascomycota; Eurotiomycetes; Eurotiales; Aspergillaceae
Description: eukaryotic LSU rRNA
Rfam family: 5.8S ribosomal RNA (bases 141-294)
Source: RNAcentral